This 347-nucleotide ribosomal RNA is filed under the name uncultured bacterium. RNAcentral describes it as "partial 16S ribosomal RNA". It matches the Rfam family "Bacterial small subunit ribosomal RNA", at positions 338 to 696 of the family's 1533-position model. The record is from RNAcentral.
CCUACGGGAGGCAGCAGUCGAGAAUCUUUCACAAUGGGGGAAACCCUGAUGGUGCGACGCCGCGUGGGGGAAUGAAGGUCUCCGGAUUGUAAACCCCAGUCAUGUGGGAGCAAAUUACAAAGCUUGUACCACAAGCGGGAGAGAAGGCUAACCCUGUGCCAGCAGCCGCGGUAAUACAGCGGGCUCAAGCGUUGUUCGGAAUCUCUGGGCGUAAGGGGUGCGUAGGCUGGUGCGUAAGUCGUGUGUGAAAGGCGCGGGCUCAACCCGCGGACGGCACCUGUUACUGCGAGACUGGAGUAAUGGAGGGGGAACCGGAAUUCUCGGUGUAGCAGUGAAAUGCGUAGAUA